Hypanus sabinus (Atlantic stingray) is the source of this 1222-nucleotide long non-coding RNA. RefSeq lists it as uncharacterized. Lineage: Eukaryota; Metazoa; Chordata; Chondrichthyes; Myliobatiformes; Dasyatidae. The record is from RefSeq and is a predicted model, not a curated record. The transcript is spliced from 2 exons.
GAGAAGCGAGGAGGAAGAGGAGGGCGCCUCACCUCGCGUCUUGGCCCAUGCUCUCCAUCUUCACUUCCACUCCCUUCCUACAAAUGCAUCGCGUUCACCAUGCGCCCGGAUAAUAGCCUUCGAAUUUUACCUUUGACCUUCAAUGAAAAGAAAUAUUGACAUGGGAGCGGACUCCAGGGUAUUUCAUUUCCCUGUUGUGGUGGGAACACGGCCGUUAUUGGACGUUCCAGUCUCUGCAUGCACUUUUUGAAGCACUGUAUUACUUUUUGGAUGAUAAUGUAUUUAAAAUUCUGGAGAUUUGCCAUUGCUAGUGUAAUAAAUGUUAAUUUGGUUAAUAUGGCCAAAUGCAGUUGGAAAGUCAAUCCCAGUCUUUACAAUCAAAAUUUGUAAUUAUUAGGUUUACUGACCUGCCAUGAUCCCGAAAUACAAUAAUUUUGUACUUUGACCAAGAGCUGACUCUCCUGGAGUAAUUUCAGUCAUGAAUGAUACACAACCCAACUGAAGUAUCCCGGUAGUAGAAUAGAUUGUUAUAAAGGCAGUAAUAUCAAGAUACCUCUGGUUCAGAAUAUUUGAUAACUUCGGCUUAAAUGUUGUGAGGGUUGUUCAUUUUACAAGGGAAAAGUACACAUAUUCACCACUCAAACAAAAAUAUAUUUGGGGAAUUGAGGCCCAUCAACUGUUGGUUAUUUUAAUUGCGAGUGAGGGAAAUGGACCUUUGAUCGGGAGAGGUUUGAAGGAAUUGGCGAUUCAUGUCUUAUCAGAGUAACUAAACCAUGCACUUAACUGACUGUAGGCGCUAAUAAUUAGUGAUUGAAAGUUUCUGUAUUUAGCGUGCUUUAUGUUUCUUGGGGGUUUUGUUACAGGUUACAUUAUUAGGUUUGCGAGAACAGUAGUUAACUAAACUUCCCAGUUAGUGGUCUUCGCACCAGGAAAGUGCUAUUUGGUACAGCAGCCAUGCCUCGUCACUCAUUAACUCCCUGUAGGUUGUCAGCGGCUGCUCAGCACAAAAAAACAGCACCAAGCUAAAUUAAGAGCCCGAUGAUUAAGAUGAACGUUUACCGGUGCUGUCAUUUGCAGCAUCUUUCCAUCAUAACAUUGUGUCACUGGGAAAUACUCUUGAAAACUACAGGGGAAUACACACACACACACACACACACACACACACACACACACACACACACACACACACACACACACACACACACACACACACACACACACA